UGGGGAAUAUUGGACAAUGGGGGCAACCCUGAUCCAGCCAUGCCGCGUGUGUGAAGAAGGCCUUUUGGUUGUAAAGCACUUUAAGCAGGGAGGAGAGGCUAAUGGUUAAUACCCAUUAGAUUAGACGUUACCUGCAGAAUAAGCACCGGCUAACUCUGUGCCAGCAGCCGCGGUAAUACAGAGGGUGCGAGCGUUAAUCGGAAUUACUGGGCGUAAAGCGAGUGUAGGUGGCUCAUUAAGUCACAUGUGAAAUCCCCGGGCUUAACCUGGGAACUGCAUGUGAUACUGGUGGUGCUAGAAUAUGUGAGAGGGAAGUAGAAUUCCAGGUGUAGCGGUGAAAUGCGUAGAGAUCUGGAGGAAUACCGAUGGCGAAGGCAGCUUCCUGGCAUAAUAUUGACACUGAGAUUUGAAAGCGUGGGUAGCAAACAGGAUUAGAUACCCUGGUAGUCCACGCCGUAAACGAUGUCUACUAGCCGUUGGGGUCCUUGAGACUUUAGUGGCGCAGUUAACGCGAUAAGUAGACCGCCUGGGGAGUACGGCCGCAAGGUUAAAACUUAAAUGAAUUGAC
Molecule: ribosomal RNA, 568 nt
Filed under: uncultured bacterium
Lineage: Bacteria
Description: partial 16S ribosomal RNA
Rfam family: Bacterial small subunit ribosomal RNA
Source: RNAcentral